Molecule: ribosomal RNA, 218 nt
Filed under: Staphylococcus epidermidis
Lineage: Bacteria; Bacillati; Bacillota; Bacilli; Caryophanales; Staphylococcaceae
Also listed under: 1 other name
Description: 16S rRNA. Bacterial SSU
Rfam family: Bacterial small subunit ribosomal RNA
Source: RNAcentral
UUUUUAUGGAGAGUUUGAUCCUGGCUCAGGAUGAACGCUGGCGGCGUGCCUAAUACAUGCAAGUCGAGCGAACAGACGAGGAGCUUGCUCCUCUGACGUUAGCGGCGGACGGGUGAGUAACACGUGGAUAACCUACCUAUAAGACUGGGAUAACUUCGGGAAACCGGAGCUAAUACCGGAUAAUAUAUUGAACCGCAUGGUUCAAUAGUGAAAGACGG